This is a long non-coding RNA of Oreochromis aureus, 1244 nucleotides long. NCBI's taxonomy places the organism in Eukaryota, Metazoa, Chordata, Actinopteri, Cichliformes, Cichlidae. The record is from Ensembl.
AUGCAAAUGAGUUAAGAGACACUGUAUAUAAAGCAUUUGUGGCAUGUUAUCUCAUUAUAGUUUCAUUCUCCACCUGUAUGGUACAGCAGCUCUUCUUACGUUCGCACAGCAGCAGGGAGUUUGUUCCAGUUCUAAGAGCGAUGGCAGCAGCAGCCUUUUCCAAUACCAGGGGACCAGCUUUAGCCAACAAAGGCUUAUUACUCAUCUUCUCUCUGCUGUGUCUUGUUUCAGUCGCAAGUUCCCUCUAUACCCAAGACCAGAUGAUGCUUGAGCAGAUGAAGAAAGCAAUAAAAGAAGCAGAGAGAUGGAAGGCAGAAGACAAAUAUAGAAAGGAAACAAUCACAAAACUAUUUGAUCUUUCAAGUUCACUGACCCACAAGGACCAACUGGAACUAUUCCAGGAAACCCUACGCAGUGCUGUAAAACAAGAGGAAACACUGAAGGGAGGAGACGAGUACAAAAUGGCAGCAACAGUAUUGGAUGAAUUGUUUGAGAAAUACAUUCAUCAGUCAGAACUGGAUAUGUUAGCUGAUUAUCCACCAGUGAAGGAAGUAUUUAAGGUUGGUUUGCACUUUAUGAAGAACUUCCGAACUUACAUGGACAAGAAGAUGACUUUGCUACAAGAAUAGAGAACAGAAAAGAAACUGGGUGUGAUGGGGAGCUUCAUAAAACUGUAGAAGAAACAACAAAUUGAACUGCUUACAUUUCUGUCUCUAUGUCUGUUCUAGUUUGCGCAUAUUUAGUUUUUAUGAAACCAUUUUUUGUUGUUUCUAAAUCAUAAAAAAAAAUACAUACAUUUCCUUCAAGUUAUACAUAUGUGACUUCUUUAUAUUAAUUUGGCACAAAGUUGUAGUAAACUGGGGAGUUCUUUUGUUUUACUGAUCUUGACCAGUGAUUCUUUUAUUUAGACAUUAUAGGUUUCUAUGCAUUCUAAAUAAAUGUGUUAUGUAAAGAAUUUUUCUUGUGCUUCCUUUGUCAAACCCUAAAGUAAAAACAAAAAAAAUCAGAGAUGAUAUAUGUAGAAACUGUAUCAUAAUCCCCUAUUUACUUAUAACAAAGACGAUGACAGUGUUUCUUUGCUUCAUACGUUUUGAUCAUAAGUCCUUCAGGUCAAGCAUAAAUGAUGGAAUCAUUAAUCCAUUUUUAGAUAUUUGUUUAUAUGUCCAAAGUAUUUAGAUAAUCACAUAUUUCUUCAUUUUAUUUUUAUCUAUUUAUUUACUCACUUUCCUGCUAUUUUACCUCUG